This 468-nucleotide ribosomal RNA is filed under the name uncultured bacterium. Its description in RNAcentral is "partial 16S ribosomal RNA". It matches the Rfam family "Bacterial small subunit ribosomal RNA", at positions 28 to 507 of the family's 1533-position model. The record is from RNAcentral.
GACGAACGCUGGCGGCGUGCUUAACACAUGCAAGUCGAACGGAAAGGCCCUGCUUUUGUGGGGUGCUCGAGUGGCGAACGGGUGAGUAACACGUGAGUAACCUGCCCUUGACUUUGGGAUAACUUCAGGAAACUGGGGCUAAUACCGGAUAGGAGCUCCUGCUGCAUGGUGGGGGUUGGAAAGUUUCGGCGGUUGGGGAUGGACUCGCGGCUUAUCAGCUUGUUGGUGGGGUAGUGGCUUACCAAGGCUUUGACGGGUAGCCGGCAUGAGAGGGUGACCGGCCACAUUGGGACUGAGAUACGGCCCAGACUCCUACGGGAGGCAGGAGUGGAGAAUAUUACAGAAUGGGCGGAAGCCUAAUGCAGCAACGCCGCGUGCGGGAUGACGGCCUUCGGGUUGUAAACCGCUUUCGCCUGUGACGAAGCGUGAGUGACGGUAAUGGGUAAAGAAGCACCGGCUAACUACGUG